Non-coding RNA from Oreochromis aureus, 418 nucleotides. The record is from the annotation of a RefSeq genome assembly. Lineage: Eukaryota; Metazoa; Chordata; Actinopteri; Cichliformes; Cichlidae.
AUGGCUGGGUUUAGUCGCCCCUCCCUGACAGUACUGGCCCCCUCCAGUGAUGAUGAGCUGCAGCAGGGGAAGGCCACACUCAUCUGUCUGGCCAAUAAAGGCUUUCCUUCAAACUGGACUCUGUCCUGGAAGGUGGAUGGAAGAAGCAGCAGUGGAGAGGAGAGCAGGAGCCCCGGGGCGCUGCAGAAUGAUGGCCACUACAGCUGGAGCAGCACCCUGAGGCUCCCUGCAGACCAGUGGGAGAAGGUGGGCUCUGUGACCUGUGAGGCCACCCAGGGCUCCCAGACUCCACUCUCAGAGACUCUGAUGAGAGACCAGUGUUCCCAGUCCUGAGCUGACUCACUGGGAUUCUGAUACUACUCUCUCUUUGUCCUCUUGGUCUGAUUAUUCUCUUUCUCUUUUUGUCUUGUUGUAUUGC